Long non-coding RNA from Drosophila ananassae, 390 nucleotides. RefSeq lists it as uncharacterized. NCBI's taxonomy places the organism in Eukaryota, Metazoa, Arthropoda, Insecta, Diptera, Drosophilidae. The record is from RefSeq and is a predicted model, not a curated record. The transcript has 2 exons.
GCUAUAAUACAAGUAUAUAUACACAUUUAUGCAACUAACAUAAUACAAUUACCUCACAAUGCUGAAUACGGUAAACAGACCCUUACACAGUUUGGAGCUCAUCCUUCUGGGAUCAAGGAUUUCUGGAGUUUAAAGUGGAAUGGUAGAGCAUAAGCGAAGCCGGUUGGAGCAAGAUUUCCUACACAGGAAAUGACUUAGCAGUUUACCCCCUCGUAGUGUCAUAAUUCAUCACUCGAUCUACGUCCAACCUCCGCUGAGACCUUGCAUGCAGUUCGGUGAUAUGUCUUCAAGGCAGCAAUGACGACUGGAGACUGGAUGGAAAGUCCGUUUGCCUUAUUUGGGGAUUGCGUAGUGGAAGACCUUCGACCUUUUCUGAUUGUUCAUGACGAG